UGGGGAAUUUUGGACAAUGGGCGCAAGCCUGAUCCAGCCAUGCCGCGUGCGGGAAGAAGGCCUUCGGGUUGUAAACCGCUUUUGUCAGGGAAGAAAUCUUCUGAGUUAAUACCUCGGGAGGAUGACGGUACCUGAAGAAUAAGCACCGGCUAACUACGUGCCAGCAGCCGCGGUAAUACGUAGGGUGCAAGCGUUAAUCGGAAUUACUGGGCGUAAAGCGUGCGCAGGCGGUUUUGUAAGACAGAGGUGAAAUCCCCGGGCUCAACCUGGGAACUGCCUUUGUGACUGCAAGGCUUGAGUGCGGCAGAGGGGGAUGGAAUUCCGCGUGUAGCAGUGAAAUGCGUAGAUAUGCGGAGGAACACCGAUGGCGAAGGCAAUCCCCUGGGCCUGCACUGACGCUCAUGCACGAAAAGCGUGGGGAGCAAAACAGGAUUAGAUACCCUGGUAGUCCACGCCCUAAAACGAUGUCAAACUGGUUGUUGGGAAGGUUCCUUCUCAGUAACGUAGCUAACGCGUGAAGUUGACCGCCUGGGGAGUACGGCCGCAAGGUUG
RNAcentral lists this ribosomal RNA (552 nucleotides) under uncultured bacterium. RNAcentral describes it as "partial 16S ribosomal RNA". It matches the Rfam family "Bacterial small subunit ribosomal RNA", at positions 355 to 896 of the family's 1533-position model. The record is from RNAcentral.